This 232-nucleotide ribosomal RNA is filed under the name uncultured bacterium. Its description in RNAcentral is "partial 16S ribosomal RNA". It matches the Rfam family "Bacterial small subunit ribosomal RNA", at positions 15 to 228 of the family's 1533-position model. The record is from RNAcentral.
GAUCAUGGCUCAGGACGAACGCUGGCGGCGUGCUUAACACAUGCAAGUCGAACGAGAAUCUGUGGAAAGAGGAUUCGUCCAAUUGAAACAGAGGACAGUGGCGGACGGGUGAGUAACGCGUGAGGAACCUGCCUUUCAGAGGGGGGACAACAGUUGGAAACGACUGCUAAUACCGCAUAACACAUUGAGGUCGCAUGGGCCUUAAUGUCAAAGAUUUAUCGCUGAAAGAUGG